UACGGAGGGUGCGAGCGUUGUCCGGAAUCACUGGGCGUAAAGGGCGCGUAGGCGGUGACUUAAGCGUGUGGUGAAAGCUCGGGGCUCAACCCCGAGUCGGCCGUGCGAACUGGGUCACUGGAGCAGAUCAGAGGCAGGCGGAAUUCCGGGUGUAGCGGUGGAAUGCGUAGAGAUCCGGAAGAACACCGGUGGCGAAGGCGGCCUGCUGGGAUCUUGCUGACGCUGAGGCGCGACAGCGUGGGGAGCAAACAGG
RNAcentral lists this ribosomal RNA (253 nucleotides) under uncultured bacterium. RNAcentral's name for it is "partial 16S ribosomal RNA". It matches the Rfam family "Bacterial small subunit ribosomal RNA", at positions 524 to 776 of the family's 1533-position model. The record is from RNAcentral.